Molecule: ribosomal RNA, 253 nt
Filed under: uncultured bacterium
Lineage: Bacteria
Description: partial 16S ribosomal RNA
Rfam family: Bacterial small subunit ribosomal RNA
Source: RNAcentral
UACGUAGGGGGCAAGCGUUGUCCGGAAUCAUUGGGCGUAAAGAGCGUGUAGGCGGCUCGAUAAGUCCGCUGUGAAAGUCCAGGGCUCAACCCUGGAAGGCCGGUGGAAACUGUCGGGCUAGAGUCCGGAAGAGGCGAGUGGAAUUCCCGGUGUAGCGGUGAAAUGCGCAGAUAUCAGGAGGAACACCUAUUGCGAAGGCUGCUCGCUGGGACGUAACUGACGCUGAGACGCGAAAGCGUGGGGAGCAAACAGG